GACAGAGGUGCCGAGCGUUAGGCGGAAUCACUGGGCUUAAAGCGUGUGUAGGCGGAUUCCUAAGUACCUUGUGAAAUCCCAUGGCUCAACCAUGGAACUGCUUGGUAUACUGGGUGUCUUGAGCCAACUAGGGGCUACCGGAACAAAUGGUGGAGCGGUGAAAUGCGUAGAUAUCAUUUGGAACGCCAAUGGUGAAAACAGGUAGCUGGGGUUGUGCUGACGCUGAGACACGAAAGCCGGGGGAGCGAACGGG
Molecule: ribosomal RNA, 253 nt
Filed under: uncultured bacterium
Lineage: Bacteria
Description: partial 16S ribosomal RNA
Rfam family: Bacterial small subunit ribosomal RNA
Source: RNAcentral